GCCGGAUAAGGCGUUCACGCCGCAUCCGGCAAUGAGCGCCUGAUGCGACGCUUGCGCGUCUUAUCAGGCC
RNAcentral lists this non-coding RNA (70 nucleotides) under uncultured Escherichia sp. RNAcentral's name for it is "Nucleoid-associated noncoding RNA 4 (CssrE)". It matches the Rfam family "Nucleoid-associated noncoding RNA 4 (CssrE)". From Rfam's summary of the family: In E. coli small RNA transcribed from repeated extragenic palindromic element (REP325) called nucleoid-associated ncRNA 4 (nRNA4) collaborates HU protein in condensing the DNA. The secondary structure but not the sequence of the RNA is important in nucleoid condensation. Lineage: Bacteria; Pseudomonadati; Pseudomonadota; Gammaproteobacteria; Enterobacterales; Enterobacteriaceae. The record is from RNAcentral.